GAUGAACGCUGGCGGCGUGCCUAAUACAUGCAAGUCGAGUGAACAGACGAGGAGCUUGCUCCUCUGACGUUAGCGGCGGACGGGUGAGUAACACGUGGAUAACCUACCUAUAAGACUGGGAUAACUUCGGGAAACCGGAGCUAAUACCGGAUAAUAUAUUGAACCGCAUGGUUCAAUAGUGAAAGACGGUUUUGCUGUCACUUAUAGAUGGAUCCGCGCCGCAUUAGCUAGUUGGUAAGGUAACGGCUUACCAAGGCAACGAUGCGUAGCCGACCUGAGAGGGUGAUCGGCCACACUGGAACUGAGACACGGUCCAGACUCCUACGGGAGGCAGCAGUAGGGAAUCUUCCGCAAAGGGCGAAAGCCUGACGGAGCAACGCCGCGUGAGUGAUGAAGGUCUUCGGAUCGUAAAACUCUGUUAUUAGGGAAGAACAAAUGUGUAAGUAACUAUGCACGUCUUGACGGUACCUAAUCAGAAAGCCACGGCUAACUACGUG
This 497-nucleotide ribosomal RNA is filed under the name uncultured bacterium. Its description in RNAcentral is "partial 16S ribosomal RNA". It matches the Rfam family "Bacterial small subunit ribosomal RNA", at positions 28 to 507 of the family's 1533-position model. The record is from RNAcentral.